CGAAUUGAUUGUGAGACUGUGUUGUCAUAUAUAAGUAGCCUGUCCUACAGUAUUGGGACAAAUAUACCUCGUCCAAAGUCUUGACUAGUUUAUUGACUCACUAAAGUGGUUUGUUUUCGAACUUUACUAUGUGGGAGCGAAUCUACUUUUACGCAUCAUUUAUUUGAUGCGUUUUCGUAAUUGUUAGUCUGGUCCAUUAAUUAUGUCAGUACACUGAAGCUGAUUUAUUAGAAAUUGCUUCACUAAUUCAGUCAUUCAUUGAUGGUUUGAUUGUCUGAUUGAUUAAUACACUUCGUUGACAUAUUAAACUACAGGGGCAGCCAUGACAGGAAGGUUGAUGCUUGGCAUUGUUGCGUCACAAUACAAAAUGCCUCUGAUGACGUAAUGAUCAAACACCAAGCUGCCACUGGUGAAAUGACGGAUCAUUAGCUGAUUGAACUACAAGGUGAACGAAUUUAAUGGUGCCGAAAGCCACUUCCUAUUCCAAGUACUCAAGACUAGAAGGAGCAUUCUGAUUAGAAUACUGCAGACCAGUGAAUGAUGAAUAGGAGGCCCAACCUGAAUGGGUCUGGAGGACCAAGGUCCAUCGGUGUUCCGCUGCUCUGUCCUUCUAACAGAGUGCUGCUGGAGAGAGAAGAGGUCAGCCAGGCCCCAGUGAUGGCCUCCUCUUUCAGGCCCUCAGCGUUCCCCUCCCUGCAUGUUGUACCCCGUGCUCCCCCUCCUGAUGACGUCAGGUCCAAGAGGCCCACAGCUGCCCACAGAAAGAGGAGAGACCUCCAGUCCCUGGUUCCUGUCCAGGAUGGAUGUCGUGAGUCUCCCGGUUGGUUUAACAGCAGCAGCUCCCAGCUACCUGCCAAAACCAACAGACGCAGGCGCAACAAGGAGCUUUCCUUCACUGAGGUUCUGAAGAACUACAAGCUUCUGCCUGAUUCCCGGCCCAGCAGCCCAGAGAGCCUGUACCAGCCUGAGACAAUGAUACCUAGAAUCUCUGUCAGCAUCACUAGACCUGAGGGGAGGCCUAGCAACCCUCGAUGCCCCACUAGACGGCCUGUUAGCCCAAUUGGCCUGGUCCAACCUGAUGUACAGCCUUCCAGACCUGAGGGGAGGCCUAGCAACCCUCAACGCCCCACUAGACGGCCUGUUAGACCAGUGGGCCUAGUCCAGCCUGAUGUACAGCCUUCCAGACCUGAGGGAAGGCCUAGCAACCCUCGGAACACCAGUAGGAGAAAAGUUAAGCCCAGUAAUCCUGUGUGUCCCGUUAUACUCGAGUCCCAACCUACCAGUCCUGUGAGCAUCACCACCAGCACUGUGGAUGUAGUCCAGCCUGAGCCCCGUCCUACCUGCCCUCUGUCCCUGGAGGAGCCGGCCCUUUCAGAGUCAUGCAGCUUCAGCAACAAUGUGUUUGUUCUCUCCAUGCCGAAAGCUGCCCAGCCAGAGGAGGCUGCCAGAGGGAGCAGCAGCCCACCCAGGGACAUCAUCAGGCCUGAGGCCUUCGUCCAGACAGGACCCCUGCUGGCCAGGAGAGCCCAGAGGGAUGCUCCUCCUCCAAAGGUCCCCAAACCCCCGGUGGCCCCCCGUCCCAAACUGCUGCCCUCCCUGGGCCAGGGCAACGUGUCCCUUGUCAGUGCCAACACCUGGGAUGAAAGGACCAAGAAGAAGAGAAAGAAAGGAGUCAGAGUUCAGAGGUCUAGCCUGGGUCUGAGGCAUAUCCCC
This is a long non-coding RNA of Oncorhynchus tshawytscha (Chinook salmon), 1713 nucleotides long. NCBI's taxonomy places the organism in Eukaryota, Metazoa, Chordata, Actinopteri, Salmoniformes, Salmonidae. The record is from Ensembl.